GCGGAUGUGGCGGAAUUGGUAUACGCGCACGUUUGAGGGGCGUGUGGCUUUGCCUUACGAGUUCGAGUCUCGUCAUCCGCA
Molecule: transfer RNA, 81 nt
Filed under: Snowella sp.
Lineage: Bacteria; Bacillati; Cyanobacteriota; Cyanophyceae; Synechococcales; Coelosphaeriaceae
Also listed under: 4 other names
Description: tRNA-Leu
Rfam family: tRNA
About the family: Transfer RNA (tRNA) molecules are approximately 80 nucleotides in length.
Source: RNAcentral